This 508-nucleotide ribosomal RNA is filed under the name uncultured bacterium. RNAcentral describes it as "partial 16S ribosomal RNA". It matches the Rfam family "Bacterial small subunit ribosomal RNA", at positions 28 to 507 of the family's 1533-position model. The record is from RNAcentral.
GACGAACGCUGGCGGCGUGCCUAAUACAUGCAAGUCGAACGCUUCUUUCCUCCCGAGUGCUUGCACUCAAUUGGAAAGAGGAGUGGCGGACGGGUGAGUAACACGUGGGUAACCUACCCAUCAGAGGGGGAUAACACUUGGAAACAGGUGCUAAUACCGCAUAACAGUUUAUGCCGCAUGGCAUAAGAGUGAAAGGCGCUUUCGGGUGUCGCUGAUGGAUGGACCCGCGGUGCAUUAGCUAGUUGGUGAGGUAACGGCUCACCAAGGCCACGAUGCAUAGCCGACCUGAGAGGGUGAUCGGCCACACUGGGACUGAGACACGGCCCAGACUCCUACGGGAGGCAGCAGUAGGGAAUCUUCGGCAAUGGACGAAAGUCUGACCGAGCAACGCCGCGUGAGUGAAGAAGGUGUUCGGAUCGUAAAACUCUGUUGUUAGGGAAGAACAAGGACGUUAGUAACUGAACGUCCCCUGACGGUAUCUAACCAGAAAGCCACGGCUAACUACGUG